This 497-nucleotide ribosomal RNA is filed under the name uncultured bacterium. RNAcentral describes it as "partial 16S ribosomal RNA". It matches the Rfam family "Bacterial small subunit ribosomal RNA", at positions 28 to 507 of the family's 1533-position model. The record is from RNAcentral.
GACGAACGCUGGCGGCGUGCCUAAUACAUGCAAGUAGAACGCUGAAGAGAGGAGCUUGCUCUUCUUGGAUGAGUUGCGAACGGGUGAGUAACGCGUAGGUAACCUGCCUGGUAGCGGGGGAUAACUAUUGGAAACGAUAGCUAAUACCGCAUAAUAGUAGAUGUUGCAUGACAUUUGCUUAAAAGGUGCAAUUGCAUCACUACCAGAUGGACCUGCGUUGUAUUAGCUAGUUGGUGAGGUAACGGCUCACCAAGGCAACGAUACAUAGCCGACCUGAGAGGGUGAUCGGCCACACUGGGACUGAGACACGGCCCAGACUCCUACGGGAGGCAGCAGUAGGGAAUCUUCGGCAAUAGACGGAAGUCUGACCGAGCAACGCCGCGUGAGUGAAGAAGGUUGUCGGAUCGUAAAGCUCUGUUGUAAGAGAAGAACGAGUGUGAGAGUGGAAAGUUCACACUGUGACGGUAUCUUACCAGAAAGGGACGGCUAACUACGUG